CGUGUGCUAUCCAAACAACACA
This 22-nucleotide non-coding RNA is filed under the name Arabidopsis thaliana (thale cress). Lineage: Eukaryota; Viridiplantae; Streptophyta; Magnoliopsida; Brassicales; Brassicaceae. The record is from RNAcentral.